AGCGAACGCUGGCGGCAGGCUUAACACAUGCAAGUCGAGCGGUCGUAGCAAUACGGCAGCGUCAGACGGGAGAGUAACACGUGGGAACGUACGCUUCAGUACGGAACAACCAAGGGAAACUUUGGCUAAUACCGUAUACGUCCGUCAGGAGCAAGAUUUAUCGCGGGAGGAUCGGCCCGCGUCUGUUUAGCUAGUUGGUGAGGUAACGGCUCACUAAGGCGACGAUAAGUAGCUGGGCUGAGAGGAUGAACAGCGUCACUGGGCCUGAGACACGGCCCAGACUCCUACGGGAGGCAGCAGUGGGGAAUAUUGGACAAUGGGCGCAAGCCUGAUCCAGCCAUGCCGCGUGGAUGAUGAAGGCCCUAGGGUUGGAAAGACCUUUUAACGGGGAAGAUAAUGACGGUACCCGUAGAAUAAGCCCCGGCUAACUUCGUGCCAGCCGCCGCGGUAA
This 451-nucleotide ribosomal RNA is filed under the name uncultured bacterium. RNAcentral describes it as "partial 16S ribosomal RNA". It matches the Rfam family "Bacterial small subunit ribosomal RNA", at positions 29 to 523 of the family's 1533-position model. The record is from RNAcentral.